AGUCGAGGGGCAGCAUUUUAGUUUGCUUGCAAACUAAAGAUGGCGACCGGCGCACGGGUGAGUAACACGCUAUCCAACCUGCCGAUAACUCGGGGAUAGCCUUUCGAAAGAAAGAUUAAUAUCCGAUAGUAUAUUAAAACCGCAUGGUUUUACUAUUAAAGAAUUUCGGUUAUCGAUGGGGAUGCGUUCCAUUAGUUUGUUGGCGGGGUAACGGCCCACCAAGACUACGAUGGAUAGGGGUUCUGAGAGGAAGGUCCCCCACAUUGGAACUGAGACACGGUCCAAACUCAUACGGGAGGCAGCAGUGAGGAAUAUUGGUCAAUGGACGAGAGUCUGAACCAGCCAAGUAGCGUGAAGGAUGACUGCCCUAUGGGUUGUAAACUUCUUUUAUAUGGGAAUAAAGUAUUCCACGUGUGGGAUUUUGUAUGUACCAUAUGAAUAAGGAUCGGCUAACUCCGUGCCAGCAGCCGCGGUAAUACGGAGGAUCCGAGCGUUAUCCGGAUUUAUUGGGUUUAAAGGGAGCGUAGGUGGAUUGUUAAGUCAGUUGUGAAAGUUUGCGGCUCAACCGUAAAAUUGCAGUUGAAACUGGCAGUCUUGAGUACAGUAGAGGUGGGCGGAAUUCGUGGUGUAGCGGUGAAAUGCUUAGAUAUCACGAAGAACUCCGAUUGCGAAGGCAGCUCACUAGACUGCAACUGACACUGAUGCUCGAAAGUGUGGGUAUCAAACAGGAUUAGAUACCCUGGUAGUCCACACAGUAAACGAUGAAUACUCGCUGUUUGCGAUAUACAGUAAGCGGCCAAGCGAAAGCAUUAAGUAUUCCACCUGGGGAGUACGCCGGCAACGGUGAAACUCAAAGGAAUUGACGGGGGCCCGCACAAGCGGAGGAACAUGUGGUUUAAUUCGAUGAUACGCGAGGAACCUUACCCGGGCUUAAAUUGCAUUUGAAUAAUCUGGAAACAGGUUAGCCGCAAGGCAAAUGUGAAGGUGCUGCAUGGUUGUCGUCAGCUCGUGCCGUGAGGUGUCGGCUUAAGUGCCAUAACGAGCGCAACCCUUAUCUUUAGUUACUAACAGGUCAUGCUGAGGACUCUAGAGAGACUGCCGUCGUAAGAUGUGAGGAAGGUGGGGAUGACGUCAAAUCAGCACGGCCCUUACGUCCGGGGCUACACACGUGUUACAAUGGGGGGUACAGAAGGCAGCUACCUGGCGACAGGAUGCUAAUCCCAAAAACCUCUCUCAGUUCGGAUCGAAGUCUGCAACCCGACUUCGUGAAGCUGGAUUCGCUAGUAAUCGCGCAUCAGCCAUGGCGCGGUGAAUACGUUCCCGGGCCUUGUACACACAAAACCGUCAAGCCAUGAAAGCCGGGGGUACCUGAAGUACGUAACCGCAAGGAG
This 1391-nucleotide ribosomal RNA is filed under the name bacterium NLAE-zl-G304. RNAcentral's name for it is "16S ribosomal RNA". It matches the Rfam family "Bacterial small subunit ribosomal RNA". RNAcentral also lists the same sequence under 1 other name. The record is from RNAcentral.